GAGAAAAAUACUUCGACAAAAUAGCAAGCAAUUAUUGCCAAUUUAGGUCAACCUGGGUAGAUGUUCAUGCCGGCAAUGAAAGAUGAAAUAACAGGGUACUGAGUGUGCUAUAACAUCCUACAGAGUUAACAUCCUUUUAUAAAGGGGAAAUAAUACUUGACAAACUUGCUACAGUGCUUUGAGAAGGAAACAAACAUUACUGAUGAAGGACCACCAGUUGAUGUCGUACAUUGAGAUUUCAACAAAGCAUUUGAUAAGUUCUGCAAGUUUUUGCGUAAACUGGUGGAGACUUUCGGUGCUUGCAAAAAGGCUCACCUCUCCGUUGAUACUGAAGGAAAAUUGGAGUUUAAAAAACCAUACGAUGAGACUGUUUUGAUGAGGAAUUUAAAGAUUACGAGUCCUGUCCGUUUGACCCACAGUUUGGUACCAUAGGUUGGUACGAUCUUCGUUCGAGAAGGAAAAGGGAUGUUCCAGAUACAGAAAAUCGUCAAACCAUUUACGACAAAGUCCGUUUCUGGGUGGAGUUAGUGGAACCGAAAAAGAUGUCUCCCUCACAGCGUUUGUGACACAAGAAUUGCAUCGUUCCUUGGCGGCCUUUCAACAGAAGAAUAUUCAGAGAUUUCCCGAGUGGACACAAUCAUCGCCUUGGAAGCUUCAUCACGAUACUACUUUGCAUUUCUGAAGAGGGAAGAAGAAAUCAAUAUGCAAAUUCAAUUCCAUGGUUUUGGAAGUCCCAUUGAGAACACGAUUCAUUUGCGCCAGCACAAUUCUCUGACCGAGAAAGAAUUGAAGUUUCCACUUGGAAGAAAGAUUCACAUCAAAUUGACUGGUCAAGGAAAUGGGACACUGACUAACCAUACGAUUAGACUGUUUUGAUGAGAAAUUUAAAGAUUACAUGUCCCAUCCGUGUGACUCACAGUUUGGUACCAUAGGUUGGUACGAUCUUCGUUGGAGAAGGAAAAGGGAUGUUCCAGAUCCAGAAAAUCGUCAAACCAUUUACUACAAAGUCCGUUUCUGGGUGGAGUUAGUGGAACCGAAAAAGAUGUCUCCCUCACAGCGUUUGUGACACAAGAAUUGCAUCGUUCCUUGGCGGCCUUUCAACAGAAGAAUAUUCAGAGAUUU
This is a long non-coding RNA of Stegostoma tigrinum, 1122 nucleotides long. RefSeq lists it as uncharacterized. Lineage: Eukaryota; Metazoa; Chordata; Chondrichthyes; Orectolobiformes; Stegostomatidae. The record is from RefSeq and is a predicted model, not a curated record. The transcript is spliced from 8 exons.